Molecule: RNA transcript, 1320 nt
Organism: Vigna radiata var. radiata (mung bean)
Lineage: Eukaryota; Viridiplantae; Streptophyta; Magnoliopsida; Fabales; Fabaceae
Gene name: mediator of RNA polymerase II transcription subunit 9
Exons: 10
Source: RefSeq, a predicted model, not a curated record
UUUAUCUGUUUUUUUUUUUCAGAUUUUAAAAUCUGGAAAAUCCAAAUUUUGAAAUCAUCAACUUCUCCCUCGAUCCCGAAAUUUCUAUACCUAAAUCCUCUUUUCUCUUCCUUCUUUACAAUUGAUACAAAGAACGCAGGGUGGUGCACGGUUGUGCUGGUCGACGUGGUGGGGUUCGCCGUGAUUCCGAUUGUUGGAUAUUCAAGUUCCACAGUUGCAUUAGCUCUGGUGGUAGCGGCAGCUUUCUUAUCGCAGCUGUUACUCGAGGAAGUAUAGUUGUAGAGACAGAUGGAUCACUAUGGUUCUUCUGGAGGAAGCUGGACGAUGAUCCCAACACACAAUUCAAAUGUCCAAUCCCAAUCGAACCAGGACCCUAACCUCUUUCUACAACAACAACAACAAUUUCUCCAGCCACAACCUUUUCAGCAAGCAUUACAACCUCAGUCUCCAUUUCAACAGCACCAGCACCUUUAUCAGCAGCAACAACAGCAGCAACGUCUAUUACAACAACAACAACAGCAACAACAGCAGCAGCAACAACAGAACCUUCACCAAUCACUGGCCUCUCACUACCAUCUCUUACAUUUGGUGGAGAAUUUGUCUGAGGUUAUUGAACAUGGAAACCCAGAUCAGCAAUCAGAUGCAUUGAUCAAUGAAUUGAGUAACCACUUUGAGAAGUGCCAACAGCUGUUAAACUCGAUCUCGGAGUCGAUUAGCACCAAGGCUAUGACAGUUGAAGGACAGAAGAAGAAACUAGAGGAAAGUGAGCAAUUGCUAAAUCAGAGAAGAGACUUGAUUGCCAAUUACAGAAAAUCUGUGGAGGAGCUUGUUAGGUCUGAGCCAUAGAGAUUGUUAUCCAUUCAGAUAGGUUCUUUUGGAAAGAAGGGGAGCAAAGUUGUUAGGUAUUUUCUUUUUUAAACAAGGAAAUGUAGCAUCAAUUCUAAAACACUCCUGGUUCAAGAAUGAGCGUGAAUGUAGAUGUGAGCUUUGUAUUUCUCCAUUCUCAUUCGGAUUAUUUAUGUUCAACCUUGGAGAUUUAAGCCUGUGCAUGAAUUUAUAAUUUAAUAGAUAUUCUGCAAGUUCCUUGUCAAGUUUUGGCCCAUGGAUGUCAAGGUUUGUAUCCAUGAAACAAGGUCAAAUUAUGUUUAAAUCAACGGCAAAUCUUUACCAUUCGCUUCUGUUGCCUGUAGCAGAAAGACGUGACAUAUUAUUAAGAGCAAACUCUGACAAUUUGGAGCAAUGAGGAAUGUAAUGUUAAUGAUAUAUGAUACAAAAUUGGUUGCCUCCUAUUGGUGCUGUUUAUCUAUAAUGUUGAAUACA